AAAUUGAAGAGUUUGAUCAUGGCUCAGAUUGAACGCUGGCGGCAGGCCUAACACAUGCAAGUCGAGCGGUAACACAGGGAGCUUGCUCCUGGGUGACGAGCGGCGGACGGGUGAGUAAUGUCUGGGAAACUGCCUGAUGGAGGGGGAUAACUACUGGAAACGGUAGCUAAUACCGCAUAACGUCGCAAGACCAAAGAGGGGGACCUUCGGGCCUCUUGCCAUCAGAUGUGCCCAGAUGGGAUUAGCUAGUAGGUGGGGUAACGGCUCACCUAGGCGACGAUCCCUAGCUGGUCUGAGAGGAUGACCAGCCACACUGGAACUGAGACACGGUCCAGACUCCUACGGGAGGCAGCAGUGGGGAAUAUUGCACAAUGGGCGCAAGCCUGAUGCAGCCAUGCCGCGUGUAUGAAGAAGGCCUUCGGGUUGUAAAGUACUUUCAGCGGGGAGGAAGGUGUUGAGGUUAAUAACCUCAGCAAUUGACGUUACCCGCAGAAGAAGCACCGGCUAACUCCGUGCCAGCAGCCGCGGUAAUACGGAGGGUGCAAGCGUUAAUCGGAAUUACUGGGCGUAAAGCGCACGCAGGCGG
This 586-nucleotide ribosomal RNA is filed under the name Enterobacter roggenkampii. RNAcentral's name for it is "partial 16S ribosomal RNA". It matches the Rfam family "Bacterial small subunit ribosomal RNA", at positions 1 to 578 of the family's 1533-position model. The record is from RNAcentral. Lineage: Bacteria; Pseudomonadati; Pseudomonadota; Gammaproteobacteria; Enterobacterales; Enterobacteriaceae.